ACUGAGGUCUAUCCCGACAGACCUUUCGCUGUAGGGCCGUGUCGUUGGAAAUGCCUCAGACAGCAACUCUGUGGUUUGCUUUACCCACGUGUUCCCUGCUGUGGACCUGCUGGGAUAUGACUGCAGAACACUG
Molecule: small nucleolar RNA, 133 nt
Filed under: Stegastes partitus (bicolor damselfish)
Lineage: Eukaryota; Metazoa; Chordata; Actinopteri; Pomacentridae
Source: RNAcentral